AGCUCAGAGCUAGGCAUUCUCACAGCACAAUGGCUGGUUCCCAAGGCCAAGUAUCCUGAGAGAGAGCUAGGUAGAUGUUGUAUUGCCUUCAGCUGUACUUUGUUAGUCAAGGCAGUUGCAAAGUCAUGUGCAGGCUGAACUAAGAAUGUUACUGAAACUUUCCCUUAAUACUUAUUAUAUAUCUUCCAAGUCAAUCCUGAGAAAAUCCAUAAAGCUCAUCUCAGGGCGAAAGCUUGUACAUUUAAGUAACAGGAUUCCAAAUAAACAAUAUUGCUGAGUUAACUAAAAAUACAUUAACUGAAAAUAAAUCUCAUCUAAAAUAUUAAAAAUGGAUAUUUUAAAAAUGCUUUCUGUACAUUUUACUUCUUUGAACGCACCCAGAACACAUUGCAAAGAUAUUCAGCAAAUGCCUACUGAAUUGAAUCUUGAUGAGAAACAGAUAAUUCUGUUCUUCUAUUAGUUUUAUUUUAUGGGGGUAGCUUAAAAAUUAAUCAAUUUAGAUGAUGACAUUCAAGGUCAGGAAUGUUAUUCCUUCUUCCUCACUCUAUAUUCCUGGAAGCCUUUUACAGCUUAUUGUAUUCAGUAUUCCUCCUUGCAUAAAAUACAGACUAGUCACCAGAAUUCCUAUAAAAAUGAAAAACAAAAACAAGUGCUCCUAUUAAAAGUUUUAAGAAGUCGUUUUGUCAAGAGAAAAGCCUUCUUUAAUGUUCUCUUCAAGUCUAAUCAAGGGCUUUGAGAAAAAUGCUGAGCAGUUUCCUUUUUUCUAAAGUUCAAGGAAGACAAAAGAGACAAAUUUACAUUUUGAUUGAACGUUUUAUUUAUUCAGCCUUCACUCAGCAAAUAUUUAUUAGUGUCCACUGCAUACCAGGCACUGUGAUAACUACUUGUUAAUGCUGGGUGAGCUGCUAGAGUGAGCUACUAAAGAAGUGUAUAAUAUGAACCACUACAGAUUGUCGAUGAGAUGUGUGAGCACUCUGUCUCUUGGAGGGGCAAUGGGAAAAUAGGAGAUGGAACUAGGUAAAACUCAAAGUGGCCCUUACCUCUCUCACUCUAAGCAGUGACUAGGGUCAGUCAAGGAUAGCAACCACAAGAGCAAGUGGGUGGUACGACCUGCUGGCAUGGGACACAGAGCCAGGAGGGCCUUGGGAGUGGGGAAGAAGAGGGAAACAGGCACCACUGGAGAGAACUGCGGGGGGCAGGAGUGCCCCAGGUCAGAGCCAGGUUUCAGCAAGACCAGGCAGGUGAUGGGGAUGUUCAGGAAAAAGUGGAGGAUGUGAGGGAUUCUACCGAGGACUGACUGUGUCUUCCAGACUAGAGUGUCUCAAACUUUAAU
This 1333-nucleotide long non-coding RNA is filed under the name Pan troglodytes (chimpanzee). RNAcentral's name for it is "long non-coding RNA NONPTRT014441". The record is from RNAcentral. Lineage: Eukaryota; Metazoa; Chordata; Mammalia; Primates; Hominidae.